GAUUAUGGCUCAGAUUGAACGCUGGCGGCAGGCCUAACACAUGCAAGUCGAACGGUAACAGGAAGAAGCUUGCUUCUUGCUGACGAGUGGCGGACGGGUGAGUAAUGUCUGGGAAACUGCCUGAUGGAGGGGGAUAACUACUGGAAACGGUAGCUAAUACCGCAUAACGUCGCAAGACCAAAGAGGGGGGACCCUUCGGGCCUCCCUGCCAUCGGAUGUGCCCAGAUGGGAUUAGCUAGUAGGUGGGGUAACGGCUCACCUAGGCGACGAUCCCUAGCUGGUCUGAGAGGAUGACCAGCCACACUGGAACUGAGACACGGUCCAGACCCCUACGGGAGGCAGCAGUGGGAAUAUUGCACAAUGGGCGCAAGCCUGAUGCAGCCAUGCCGCCGUGUAUGAAGAAGGCCUUCGGGUUGUAAAGUACUUUCAGCGGGGAGGAAGGGAGUAAAGUUAAUACCUUUGCUCAUUGACGUUACCCGCAGAAGAAGCACCGGCUAACUCCGUGCCAGCCGCAGC
RNAcentral lists this ribosomal RNA (516 nucleotides) under uncultured bacterium. Its description in RNAcentral is "bacterial SSU rRNA". It matches the Rfam family "Bacterial small subunit ribosomal RNA", at positions 15 to 518 of the family's 1533-position model. The record is from RNAcentral.